GAAAUUGUUAUGUUCGAAUCAUAAUAACCUGA
Molecule: transfer RNA, 32 nt
Filed under: Aspergillus nidulans
Lineage: Eukaryota; Fungi; Ascomycota; Eurotiomycetes; Eurotiales; Aspergillaceae
Description: partial tRNA-Pro
Source: RNAcentral